CGUUAAAUGUGCUACAGAGACACAGACUUGUAUCCAACAUUUCAGAGGUAGUCAGUAUGCAGCAGGAAAACAAAAUAAAACGCAGGCUGAAAUGGGUGGGAUCCAAGGAAUCAAAGCAGUAGAUGGACGACCAGGAGCACCCCAGGUUAUCUUCAGGAAACAGAGCGACAAAACGCAAAGUGAAAGCAUUAAGAUAAGCAGCAUUCCACUAUAAAUCUUACACAAAAUGCCACA
RNAcentral lists this long non-coding RNA (234 nucleotides) under Pan troglodytes (chimpanzee). Its description in RNAcentral is "long non-coding RNA NONPTRT012268". Lineage: Eukaryota; Metazoa; Chordata; Mammalia; Primates; Hominidae. The record is from RNAcentral.